UAUAUUUCCAUGUAGUAAACAUAACGUUCUUAAUCGCCACUCUCAUUUUGUUUUUAACAAACUUAUUUAAUGAUCCAAAUAGCGAAAUAGUCCAUAAUGCAUUUGCAACACUGUUAAUUAUAGUUCCGUCCAUUGGAUUAUUGGUUCAAAUUAAUAGAGAAUUGUAUGUAGAUGUUCAUAAAGCCGCCCAGCUUUAUGAUAAAUACAUCAUUUCUGGGGUACUUGGCAUACUGAAUUCAAUUUUUUAUGCUGGUAGCGGAUUCAUUAAUCGAAGAAACGCUAUCUCAAGACAUUGAAUCUCUUAAAAGGCACCAAAGUAUGAAGGAUCUUGAUGGCUAAUUUUGUAUUUGGUACAACAGAUAAAAUAUGUGUUUGAUCCAGAGACUGAAAUUUUCGGGAUCUUCCUCUUCUUCUUAUUGUGAAAUUCAAUUUUAUUUUGAAAACGCAA
Molecule: long non-coding RNA, 448 nt
Organism: Sitodiplosis mosellana (orange wheat blossom midge)
Lineage: Eukaryota; Metazoa; Arthropoda; Insecta; Diptera; Cecidomyiidae
Exons: 3
Source: RefSeq, a predicted model, not a curated record